GACGAACGCUGGCGGCGUGCUUAACACAUGCAAGUCGAACGGAAAGGCCCCUUUGGGGUACCUAGUGGGUCGGCCGGGUAAGUAACACUUACGUAACCGGCCCUUGACUUCGAGCGGACUUCAGGAAACUGAGACUAAUGCCAGUUCGGCAUCAUUGCUUCAUGCAGGAGUUUUAAAAUCUUGGGGUGUUUUGGCUGGACUCGCGGUUUAUCCGCUGGUUGGUGGGGUAGUGGCUUACCAAGGCUUUGACGGGUAGCCGGCAUGAUAGGGCGACCGGCCACAUUGGGACUGCGAGACGGCCCAGACGCCUACGGGAGGCAGCAGUGGGGAAUAUUGCACAACGGGCGGACGCCUGAUGCAGCGAUGCUGCGUGCGGGAUGAUGGCCUUCGGGUUGUAAACCGCGUUCAGCAGGGGAGAAGCUUGUGGUGACGGUACCUGCAGAAGAAGCACCGGCUAACUACGUG
RNAcentral lists this ribosomal RNA (465 nucleotides) under uncultured bacterium. RNAcentral describes it as "partial 16S ribosomal RNA". It matches the Rfam family "Bacterial small subunit ribosomal RNA", at positions 28 to 507 of the family's 1533-position model. The record is from RNAcentral.